CAUAGUAGCAUGACCUAAGACCCAUAAGGAGAGACCUAGUCAAAGUACGCUUGGAUUAACCCACUAUCUCAUCGCUUGACGAGAUAGAGUUAUAACUCUCCCACAUAAUAUACGUAUUAUAUUUGGAAGAAUAAGAAUUUAAUGUGUUUUCUCUCUCCUAGACUCUUGUUUCUCUUUCCAUAAAAACACAUAGUAGCUCUUUGUACUGCGACGAGUGUGCGUAGUUCUAAUAAUUUUACUCCAUUGCUAAGAAUUAUUUAAGAAUAUUAAUGAAAACACUUAAUAGCCCUUUGUACUGUGACGAGUGUGCGUAGUUCUAAUAAUUUUACUCCAUUGCUAAGAAUUAUUUAAGAAUAUCAAUGAAAACACAUAAUAGCCCUUUGUACUAUGACGAGUGUGGAUAGUUCUAAUAGUUCAACUCCAUUGCUAAGAAUUAUUCAAAAAUAUCAAUAGAAACAUGUAUGAUCUAUGGAUUUGGUUUGAAUGAAAAGGUAUAUCAAAUCCAUUUAUUUCUGAGGCAUAAUAUUUCUUAUUUUUCCUACAAAACCAAAGCACAAAGGAGCAAAAUGAGAGACAAAAUAACUCGCAAGUUCAGAAGUCAAAUGAUUUUUGUCGUCUUGCACAUUUAGGUCUAGUUGCAGCUUAUUUCCAGUAACUAUGCAAGCCUGGCGCACUCCGAUACGAGUGCCUGCAACUUGAGCCUCUAAUUUGUUGUACUGAGAUUGCAGAGUCUCGGGAUCAAAUUCCCUAGCUUCUGGGAGUAAACUCUUCCCCAACUUGAUCUCUUGAAUUUCUUUCCUCAACUUCAUCUCCCAAAAUGUUUUCCGAUCCUCACUCAAAUCUGGGUGCAUAAGUUCGAAAUUCGAUUUCUUCAUAGCCUCGUUUUGCUUCUCCAGUUCCGAAAUCUGAUUCGCCAGCCCAAUCUCUUCUUGCGAUGUCUCCAUUUGCUUUUCAGAUAUAAAUCUCUUAGUCGUAGAGACAAGACAGAUAGCUUACUCGCUUCACUACACUAAUGGCCUAUGUCAGCGUUGGUCCUGCUGCUCAGGUUAGGGUUGUAGUGUAGUGCAGUGAAGUGAGUAAGCUAUCUGUCUUGUCUCUACGACUAGGAGAUUUAUAUCUGAAAAACAAAUGGAGAUAUCGCAAGAAGAGAUUGGGCUGGCAAAUCAGAUUUCAGAACUGGAGAAGCAAAACGAGGCUAUGAAGAAAUCGAAUUUCGAAUUUAUGCGUCCAGAUUUGAGUGAGGAUUAGAAAACAUUUUGGGAGAUGAAGUUGAGGAAGGAAAUUCAAGAGAUGAAGUUGGGGAAGAGUUUACUCCCAGAAGCUAGGGAAUUUGAUCCCGAGACUCUGCAAUCUCAGUACAACAAAUUAGAGGCUCAAGUUGCAGGCACUCGUAUCAGAGUGCGCCAGGCUUGCAUAGUUACUGGAAAUAAGCUGCAACUAGACCUAAAUGUGCAAGACGACAAAAAUCAUUUGACUUCUGAGCUUGUGAGUUAUUUUGUCUCUCAUUUUGCUCCUUUGUGCUUUGGUUUUGUAGGAAAAAUAAGAAAUAUUAUGCCUCAGAAAUAAAUGGAUUUGAUAUACAUUUUCAUUCAAACCAAAUCCAUAGAUCAUACGUGUUUCUAUUGAUAUUUUUGAAUAAUUCUUAGCAAUGGGGUAGAUCUAUUAGAACUAUCCACACUCGUCGCUGUACAAAGGGCUAUUAUGUGUUUUUAUGGAAAGAGAAACAAGAGUCUAGGAGAGAGAAAACACAUUAAAUUCUUAUUCUUCCAAAUAUAAUACGUAUAUUAUGUGGGAGAGUCAUAACUCUAUCUCGUCAAGCGAUGAGAUAGUGGGUUAAUCCAAGCGUACUUUGACUAGGUCUCUCCUUAUGGG
Molecule: non-coding RNA, 1872 nt
Organism: Camellia sinensis
Lineage: Eukaryota; Viridiplantae; Streptophyta; Magnoliopsida; Ericales; Theaceae
Source: RefSeq, a predicted model, not a curated record